CAUAACUUUCAUAAGUUUGUUUUACUUAUGAAAUUUACGGCAACGGCGUCAACAUGGCUGCAUCUCGAUACAGGAAGUUUCUUCGUUUGAUGGAAGAAUGGCCCGCAGAUCCGUCGAAAAGGGGUAGAGAUUUGGCGGUUACUAUUCGGGAAAGAGUGGCACAUGGUUUUAGAAGAGGUGAAAACUCUGAGAUAAAUGAGAAAGAGUGUGACAGGAUGUAUGACUCUCUCAACAAGAUCCAUACAGAUUUCUUCAGAGAAAAGUACCCACGGCUCAAAGAUUCAUCAGCUACAGGAACCUCCAUAGAGAUUUGCAAGAUGGUGAUGGCUACAGAUACCAUCACUGAAAUGGAGAAGAUGAAUAAGAGCACCUGGCAGAAGAUCAAAGAUUCAAUACCCUGGAGGUCAGCAGGGCCAGGGGACGACAAGAGCUGAGACAGACAGCAAUAGGUCAACCAAGGUCACCAGUUUCGUCCGCUGUGAAAAAGAUGAGAUGGGCAUUUACUAACCGAACUGCCGUUAUAUUAUAUGGAGGAAAGCAGACUUAGCCAUGGCCUCGUCUUGUGAACAAAAUUGUGAUUGAUCUGAAUCUCUUGCAACUCCACUUCAGUUCGAUGUCAGUCGCAAUGCUGUUCAUGAGCAAUUGUAACUUUGCAAUUGAUUUUAGGAUUUGCAAAAGAUUUGGAUUCAUUUUGACAUUUUUUUUCUGAUGGGGCUCAGGACUGUAUGUAAUAUUGACUUUUACCUGUGCUAUUGAACUAUAUUGAAUAUGUAUAAGCAACCAGGGGCCUUAUGGUUGUAUAUUGUGUGAUUAUUGUCUAGGAGCAGGAGCAAAUGUCCAUAUGGCUGAUCUUUUGAUCGAUUGAAUGAAAGAUGUUGGAUGGUGGAUCGAUCAUAACAUGCUCAGGAAUAGCAAGGAGGAUAUUGUCCUAUUGAUAUUGAAUGUCAUCAGGACUUGUUUAAUUUAGAUUUGAAACUGUUUUCCAUUCUGCCUCAUCCUGAAUGAAGCUUUGUCCCAACAGUGUUUCAAUCUGUAAACAAAAUAGUUUAACCGACUUAGUCAUGUUGAGGGAAAGAGGGAGGAGAGAGAGAGAGAGAGAGAGAGAGAGAUGGGAGGGGGAAAGGAGAGAGAGAGAGAUAGAGAGAUGGGAGGGGGAGAGAGAGAGAGAGAGAGAGAUAUGAGUGCAUUUUCAGUUUGUGCAAUCUCAUAAAUUUUUGAUAUGAUCAUGUGAUAUAUAGUAUUACUGAAAAAUUGCGAAGAAAUUUGAUUUAAUAUGAUUUUCCACUGUGCUUUGAGCCAUAGUAUUCUCAUAAUGUAUAAUGAAGAGUUUAAAUAAAAAACUGAAUUGAUAUGUCCGGGAAACUGCAUACAGAGAAACUUUGCUGCCAAUGUUUGGAUUUUUAAAAACUCUAUAGUUGCAUUUGUAGAAGUGUCAUUGUCUAGUGGAUAGGUCACUAGACUGUGGAUCACACGGUUUACAAUCGAGUCCUGACGCGGCACUAAUGUGGUUGGAUUGGCAUGUGUGCACCUGUAAAUGGCGCCUGGCCGGAAUACUUCCCAGGGAUCGGAGCUUGUGCACUGUCACGUGUGGGUUAGUAAUUUAAUCCAAUGAUCAAUAAUUACAAUGUAAAGCUGCUCUUAAA
Molecule: long non-coding RNA, 1643 nt
Filed under: Strongylocentrotus purpuratus (purple sea urchin)
Lineage: Eukaryota; Metazoa; Echinodermata; Echinoidea; Camarodonta; Strongylocentrotidae
Description: ubiquinol-cytochrome-c reductase complex assembly factor 2
Source: RNAcentral